This 483-nucleotide ribosomal RNA is filed under the name uncultured bacterium. RNAcentral's name for it is "partial 16S ribosomal RNA". It matches the Rfam family "Bacterial small subunit ribosomal RNA", at positions 29 to 506 of the family's 1533-position model. The record is from RNAcentral.
AUUGAACGCUGGCGGCAUGCCUUACACAUGCAAGUCGAACGGCAGCACGGACUUCGGUCUGGUGGCGAGUGGCGAACGGGUGAGUAAUGUAUCGGAACGUACCUUUCAGUGGGGGAUAACGUAGCGAAAGUUACGCUAAUACCGCAUAUUCUGUGAGCAGGAAAGCAGGGGAUCGAAAGACCUUGCGCUGAUUGCGCGGCCGAUAUCAGAUUAGCUAGUUGGUGGGGUAAAGGCCUACCAAGGCGACGAUCUGUAGCGGGUCUGAGAGGAUGAUCCGCCACACGGGAACUGAGACACGGUCCGGACGCCUACGGGAGGCAGCGGUGGGGAAUUUUGGACAAUGGGGGCAACCCUGAUCCAGCCAGGCCGCGUGGGUGAAGAAGGCCUUCGGGUUGUAAAGCGCUUUCGGCCGGGAAGAAAUCGCAUAGACUAAUAGCCUGUGUGGAGGACGGUACCGGAAUAAGAGGCACCGGCAAACUACUG